Molecule: ribosomal RNA, 253 nt
Filed under: uncultured bacterium
Lineage: Bacteria
Description: partial 16S ribosomal RNA
Rfam family: Bacterial small subunit ribosomal RNA
Source: RNAcentral
UACGGAGGGUGCAAACGUUGCUCGGAAUCAUUGGGCGUAAAGUGCACGUAGGCGGCACAGCAAGUCGGGUGUGAAAGCCCUCGGCUUAACCGAGGAAGUGCAUUCGAAACUACUGAGCUUGAAUACUGGAGAGGAUCGCGGAAUUCCCGGUGUAGAGGUGAAAUUCGUAGAUAUCGGGAGGAACACCAGUGGCGAAGGCGGCGAUCUGGACAGAUAUUGACGCUGAUGUGCGAAAGCGUGGGGAGCAAACAGG